CCUACGGGUGGCUGCAGUGAGGAAUAUUGGUCAAUGGACGAGAGUCUGAACCAGCCAAGUAGCGUGAAGGAUGACUGCCCUAUGGGUUGUAAACUUCUUUUAUAUGGGAAUAAAACGUUCCACGUGUGGGAUUUUGUAUGUACCAUAUGAAUAAGGAUCGGCUAACUCCGUUACAGAAGCCGCGGUAAUACGGAGGAUCCGAGCGUUAUCCGGAUUUAUUGGGUUUAAAGGGAGCGUAGGUGGAUUGUUAAGUCAGUUGUGAAAGUUUGCGGCUCAACCGUAAAAUUGCAGUUGAAACUGGCAGUCUUGAGUACAGUAGAGGUGGGCGGAAUUCGUGGUGUAGCGGUGAAAUGCUUAGAUAUCACGAAGAACUCCGAUUGCGAAGGCAGUUCACUGGACUGCAACUGACACUGAGGCUCGAAAGUGUGGGUAUCAAACAGGAUUAGAUACCCCGGUAGUC
RNAcentral lists this ribosomal RNA (460 nucleotides) under uncultured bacterium. RNAcentral describes it as "partial 16S ribosomal RNA". It matches the Rfam family "Bacterial small subunit ribosomal RNA", at positions 338 to 795 of the family's 1533-position model. The record is from RNAcentral.